GGAAUAUUGGUCAAUGGGCGUAAUCCUGAACCAGCCAAGUAGCGUGCAGGAUGACGGCCCUAUGGGUUGUAAACUGCUUUUAUGCGGGGAUAAAGUGAGGGACGUGUCCCUUUUUGUAGGUACCGCAUGAAUAAGGACCGGCUAAUUCCGUGCCAGCAGCCGCGGUAAUACGGAAGGUCCGGGCGUUAUCCGGAUUUAUUGGGUUUAAAGGGAGCGCAGGCGGAGGCUUAAGCGUGACGUGAAAUGCCGCGGCUCAACCGUGGAAGUGCGUCGCGAACUGGGUUUCUCGAGUGAGUGCGACGUGUACGGCAUUCGUGGUGUAGCGGUGAAAUGCUUAGAUAUCACGAAGAACCCCGAUUGCGAAGGCAGCUGACGAGUCCUUUACUGACGCUAAAGCUCGAAGGUGCGGGUAUCGAACA
Molecule: ribosomal RNA, 419 nt
Filed under: uncultured Prevotella sp.
Lineage: Bacteria; Pseudomonadati; Bacteroidota; Bacteroidia; Bacteroidales; Prevotellaceae
Description: bacterial SSU rRNA
Rfam family: Bacterial small subunit ribosomal RNA
Source: RNAcentral